This 345-nucleotide unclassified non-coding RNA is filed under the name soil metagenome. Its description in RNAcentral is "partial contains 5.8S ribosomal RNA, internal transcribed spacer 2, and large subunit ribosomal RNA". The stretch from base 1 to 120 matches the Rfam family "5.8S ribosomal RNA", at positions 35 to 154 of the family's 154-position model. The record is from RNAcentral.
GAUGAAGGACGUAGCGAAAUGCGAUACGUAAUGUGAAUUGCAGAAUUCAGUGAAUCAUCGAGUCUUUGAACGCACAUUGCGCCCCCUGGUAUUCCGGGGGGCAUGCCUGUCCGAGCGUCAUUGCUGCCCUCAAGCACGGCUUGUGUGUUGGGCCUCCGUCCUCCUCCCGGGGGACGGGCCCGAAAGGCAGCGGCGGCACCGCGUCCGGUCCUCGAGCGUAUGGGGCUUCGUCACCCGCUCUUGUAGGCCCGGCCGGCGCUUGCCGACACAUCAAUCUUUUUUCCAGGUUGCCCUCGGAUCAGGUAGGGAUACCCGCUGAACUUAAGCAUAUCAAUAAGCGGAGGA